Molecule: non-coding RNA, 28 nt
Filed under: Rattus norvegicus (Norway rat)
Lineage: Eukaryota; Metazoa; Chordata; Mammalia; Rodentia; Muridae
Source: RNAcentral
UCUUAUUCUGUUUUAGGUGACUUGGUCC